CACUCCCCUGAGGAAGGUAACCUUGUCUAAACAAUGCUUUCCGUGUAAUAAAUUCCUUUCUUCUUUUUUUCAUGCCCUCUCUCUGCCUUUAAAAACCUUCCUCUCAUGUAGUUCAGUGGACUUCCCCUCGACUUGCUAGAUGGGAUGCUGUCCAAUUCACGAAUCCUUUAAAAAAGCCAUAGGACCUUCAAAUUUAUGCAGUUGAAUUUUGUUUUUUAACAACGUUGGUGGCAGCAGUGGGAUCUAAAGAAAAUUUCUGACAGCAUUCAGGAACAAUGAAAAAACAAGGGCACGGCGCCCUGCAAACCCCUUUGAGUUAAUGUCUUUCUUGUCAUUUCUUUUUUUUUUUUUAAGAUUUUAUUUAUUUAUUUAUUCAUAAGAAUACAGAGAGAGGAGAGAGAGAGAGAGGCAGAGACACAGGCAGAGGGAGAAGCAGGCUCCAUGCAGAGAGCCCGAUGUGGGACUCAAUCCCGGGAUUCCAGGAUCACACCCUGGGCUGAAGGCGGCGCUAAACCACUGAGCCACCCGGGCUGCCCUCUUGCCAUUUCUAAAGGCCACUGAGAGAAACUGGUAGAUACCAGAGUCCUCAGAGGGGAUCACAGAAGAAGGGACAGAGGCCAAUGAAGGCCUCAGAUCUCCUCCCGCUGGACCCUUUGAAGAUCUACAACUAGAUAUUAUUCAGCUGCCAUUUCGUAUGGGUUAUCAAUACGUCCUUGUUAUUGUGUGUAUGUUUUCCAGAUGGGUUAAAACCUUUCCCUGCCACAGGCUGAUGCCUUCACAGUGAGGGGAAAUAAAAACAAAACUGUUAAAAAAAUGUGUUUCCCACUUGGGAUAUAACUUGGGAUAUAUUCUCCAGGGGUUGAGGCCUCCACUUCACUGGGCAGCUCAUACAAACCUUAUCAAAAACUUUGCAAACUGGGCAGCCCAGGUGGCUCAGCGGUUUAGAGCCGCCUUCAGUCCGGGGCCUGAU
Long non-coding RNA from Canis lupus familiaris (dog), 970 nucleotides. RefSeq lists it as uncharacterized. Lineage: Eukaryota; Metazoa; Chordata; Mammalia; Carnivora; Canidae. The transcript is spliced from 3 exons. The record is from RefSeq and is a predicted model, not a curated record.